This is a long non-coding RNA of Saccostrea cuccullata (small rock oyster), 362 nucleotides long. RefSeq lists it as uncharacterized. The transcript has 2 exons. The record is from RefSeq and is a predicted model, not a curated record. NCBI's taxonomy places the organism in Eukaryota, Metazoa, Mollusca, Bivalvia, Ostreida, Ostreidae.
UUUUUUUCAUUUUAAGAUACUGAUGCUUGGCUCAGAGGAGGGCGUCGUUAUCAAGGUUUGAAUAAAGAAAACCGGAGAGAUAUGAUUCCGGGAAACUCGAGAGAACCUAAUGCAGAAAACCGGAGAGAUCAAUAUCCGGAAUGGAAUCCGAGAAGAGAUAUGAAUCCCGGAAACUUGGGAAAACCUAAUGCAGAAAACCGGAGAGGUCUAUUUCCGGGAAGUUGGCUCCAAAUGCAGAAAUCCAGAGAGAUCUGAAUGCGGAAAACUGAAGACAUGACAAAUGAAAAAUGUGAAAUAACUAAGCAGUUUCAAGUCUGAAAUUGUAUUCUUAGUGUAUUUUAUUAAAGCAAAUGAUAAAAACA